GCCAAAUCUUAUUGCGUGCCGACCAAUAUAAUUAUGUGUAAUGACUCCUCGGCCAAAGUACAGUACAGAAUCACACUAAAUAUUUCUUGGCUGUUGAGGGCCAGUGAAAGUAGGAAGUGAAACAAUUGUCGGCCUUGUAUAUUCCAUGCAACAGGCGUCGACGUUCAAGUGAAAGCCCUUAGCCUAGUGGAAGGUGGCCUUUCAGAUGAAGGACAUGAAGGGCUUUCACUGGAAACAUUGACGCUUGUUGCAUCCGACAUACAAGUCCGACUAUUGUACAAUAUAUGGACAUAUGCUUUUCGACCAAAGUCAACUUGACGCGACCCUGAGGAUGCCUUGAAAGCAACGGAUGCAAAAAAGACAACAUACAUUCACGACAAUAUCAUGAUCUCCCAAAAUUAUACACCUCUCCCCAAAUUCAACUCCGGUAUAUAUAGAUAUUAAAGAGUCGCGCAGUUUCC
Molecule: non-coding RNA, 461 nt
Organism: Paramuricea clavata
Lineage: Eukaryota; Metazoa; Cnidaria; Anthozoa; Malacalcyonacea; Plexauridae
Source: the annotation of a GenBank genome assembly